Molecule: ribosomal RNA, 133 nt
Filed under: uncultured bacterium
Lineage: Bacteria
Description: partial 16S ribosomal RNA
Rfam family: Bacterial small subunit ribosomal RNA
Source: RNAcentral
GUUCCCGGGUCUUGUACACACCGCCCGUCACACCAUGGGAGCCGGGAAUGCCCGAAGUCGGUGACCUAACCUGAAAAGGGAGGAGCCGCCGAAGGCAGGUCUGGUAACUGGGGUGAAGUCGUAACAAGGUAUC